This 71-nucleotide transfer RNA is filed under the name Stegodyphus mimosarum. It matches the Rfam family "tRNA". From Rfam's summary of the family: Transfer RNA (tRNA) molecules are approximately 80 nucleotides in length. Their secondary structure includes four short double-helical elements and three loops (D, anti-codon, and T loops). The record is from Rfam by way of RNAcentral. Lineage: Eukaryota; Metazoa; Arthropoda; Arachnida; Araneae; Eresidae.
UCCUUCGUGGUGUAACAGUAGCACACUCGGCUUGAAUUCGAGAGGUCCAAGUUCGACUCCCGGAGAGGGCA